CGAAUCCGGUAGACGCUACGGACUUAAAUAAUUUGAGCGUUAGUAGAAAAACUUACUAAAUGCUAGCUUUCAGAUUCAGGGAAACUUAGGUUGAUAAAAAUAUAAGCAAUCCUGAGCCAAAUCUUAUUUCGUUUGAAAAUAAAAUAGGUGCAGAGACUCAAUGGAAGCUAUCCUAACGAAUAACAUUUUAAAAAUUAUUUAAAAUUUAUUUUUUAGAUAUUAAGCGAGGAUAAAGAUAGAGUCCAAUUUUACAUGUUAAUUUUAGCAACAAUUUAAAUUGUAGUAGAAAGAAAAUCCGUUGGCUUUAUUGACCGUGAGGGUUCAAGUCCCUCUACCCCCA
Molecule: transfer RNA, 340 nt
Filed under: Sarmentypnum exannulatum
Lineage: Eukaryota; Viridiplantae; Streptophyta; Bryopsida; Hypnales; Amblystegiaceae
Description: partial tRNA-Leu
Rfam family: Group I catalytic intron (bases 16-265)
About the family: Group I catalytic introns are large self-splicing ribozymes. They catalyse their own excision from mRNA, tRNA and rRNA precursors in a wide range of organisms. The core secondary structure consists of 9 paired regions (P1-P9).
Source: RNAcentral